RNAcentral lists this small nucleolar RNA (106 nucleotides) under Zostera marina. Its description in RNAcentral is "Small nucleolar RNA Z221/R21b". It matches the Rfam family "Small nucleolar RNA Z221/R21b". From Rfam's summary of the family: Z221 is a member of the C/D class of snoRNA which contain the C (UGAUGA) and D (CUGA) box motifs. The record is from Rfam by way of RNAcentral. Lineage: Eukaryota; Viridiplantae; Streptophyta; Magnoliopsida; Alismatales; Zosteraceae.
UAGUUGCGAUGAAGAGCAAUCUGUCAUGCACCACUCUGAUUUUGUUGAUCUCUGUUUAGAUCUGCAGUGCUGAUAAAUUGAAACUACCUAUUUUUGAUCUGAGCUU